UACAGAGGGUGCGAGCGUUAAUCGGAUUUACUGGGCGUAAAGCGUGCGUAGGCGGCCAAUUAAGUCAAAUGUGAAAUCCCCGAGCUUAACUUGGGAAUUGCAUUCGAUACUGGUUGGCUAGAGUAUGGGAGAGGAUGGUAGAAUUCCAGGUGUAGCGGUGAAAUGCGUAGAGAUCUGGAGGAAUACCGAUGGCGAAGGCAGCCACCUGGCCUAAUACUGACGCUGAGGUACGAAAGCAUGGGGAGCAAACAGGAUUAGAAACCCUGGUAGUCC
Molecule: ribosomal RNA, 273 nt
Filed under: uncultured Acinetobacter sp.
Lineage: Bacteria; Pseudomonadati; Pseudomonadota; Gammaproteobacteria; Moraxellales; Moraxellaceae
Description: partial 16S ribosomal RNA
Rfam family: Bacterial small subunit ribosomal RNA
Source: RNAcentral